Long non-coding RNA from Haliotis rubra (blacklip abalone), 349 nucleotides. RefSeq lists it as uncharacterized. The transcript is spliced from 2 exons. NCBI's taxonomy places the organism in Eukaryota, Metazoa, Mollusca, Gastropoda, Lepetellida, Haliotidae. The record is from RefSeq and is a predicted model, not a curated record.
UUUGGGGACUUCUGAAUUUUAAUACCAUUCACAUGUUCAACAGUAUUUACAUGUUAGUGGAUGUACACAUUAUCCUGUAAAGGUACAGUACUAGAUAAUCCUUUACACCUUGUGAUCCUAGGUGACAGCCCUCCUGACAUCACACGUGACCCCAGUAUUUCCGGUCACGUGGUCAUACGCGGUGCUGUCAACUAACAUCAGAAAGCGUACAGAAGCACAGCUAUGAGCUUUUGAAGUUCAUGAAGCCUGCAUAAUAGGUAUUGUUUAAACUGCAGUCUUAUUGCUGAGUGUAUGACACCGCAGUUACCAAUAUUCCAAAGAUAUCCGAGCGGCUAGUCUGUCAUACAGA